AGCUUCAAGCUCCUUCGAAAGGUGUAGAAUUGAGUUCAUAGGGUUUGGGAGGACUUUGACAAUCGUUGCUGAAAGUCAGUGUUUGUAUUGGUGAAAUGGAUUUUUUUUUGCAAUAAAAUUAAGGCUGAUACUCUUGACUGUUUUGUGAAAUUGGAGAAACUUCUACAGUUGAAAUUUAGAGGUAUCUAGAGGGUUGAGUAUGCAGAGUGCAUGAAAAAAGUUGUGUUAAUCUAAUAGAAUAGAUAGAGGAUAUUUGACCAUUAAUGUAAAGAGGUAUCGGAAGUUAGUAGAUUGAGGUUGUUUAGGAUUUCAAUAAUAUCUGAAGAUCUACUAGUUGGAAUAAGGUGACUUUUGGCAUGGUAAGUCGAGGAUUUCUAGGCGGCGAUCAAGAUACAUCAAUGUGGAUUAACGGCAUUUUCUUGCAACUUGUAAGUUAGAUUGGAUUGAAACUUCUUAAGCAUUUGGAAGGCUUGCAACAACACUAGUGGUAGAAGUUUACAACCAUCGGACAGUCAUAUUCAGAAUUAUAGCUUGCCGAAGCUCGCUGUCUAGGAUUAGGGUUAAAAAUAAAAAAUAAAAUAAAAUAAAAAUAAAAAUAAAACUAACAAAUAACAAAAGACUUUGUGCUUAUAAUAUCUUGAAGUUAUUAAAAUAGUAUUUCUAAGAAUUUUUUAAU
Molecule: long non-coding RNA, 676 nt
Filed under: Physcomitrium patens
Lineage: Eukaryota; Viridiplantae; Streptophyta; Bryopsida; Funariales; Funariaceae
Description: long non-coding RNA (PPAT_LNC004031)
Source: RNAcentral